AUAGUUUAAUACGAGAGUGGUACAGUAUUCUAGUCAGUCCUCCAAUCUUGAAGGCGGGCCUAAAAAUCCGCCAAAGGGCACAUCGAUGAAGCUCCUUGUUUUGGCUUGAGGCGCCCAGCUUGGGUCUAAGCUGGGAGAAAAGGUAAAAGGGCGAUCCACAAAGGCAUGUGGGCGAUGACCCUUUUACUGUGGAGGCCCAAAAAACCGUUCAAUGUAUAUUGAGUAAGGUUUUUGGGUAUGAACCUGUAAGGCGAGUUGGGACUCGUCUGCAGCGUAGCCUGCCUUGAGUGGAGAGUGAGGGGAUUAUAGAACAAGAGAUUCGUUGUUGUCGGCCAACAAUGACGAUCUUACCUAUAUGAAAUCAUCUCUGCAAAAGAGGAUAAAAGAUUGGCACGGGAUUGCUGAGGAAAUCUCCUAGACUGUUCGCUCGACAUUUAAAGAGGAUUGCAGUGUAGACUAAGUGGUAAUCUAGUCUGGCGACUGGUGACAGCGUCAAUCUCGGUUUAAAGGGAAACCGCCAGUGCGGCGACGCAUUGGAACUGAGAUGGGAAACCCUACUGGACCUAAGCUACAGAGUUUACUCUUUAAAUGGCCACUCUCUUACAUAAUGGA
Molecule: small RNA, 612 nt
Filed under: Halalkalibacter hemicellulosilyticusJCM 9152
Lineage: Bacteria; Bacillati; Bacillota; Bacilli; Caryophanales; Bacillaceae
Source: RNAcentral